AGAUACCACCCUCGUGUUCCGAAGCCACUCACCUGUGGUGUUAGAAGUACUCACAGGCGCUAUAAGCGCAGUAUCGUUUCGCAAGGACAGCGAUGUUCUUUGACGAAACGGUGCCGCGACGCGCUAUGAGAGUUUUUCUACCACCACAGGGACAUUGCUUGCUGGGCAGUUUAACUGGGGCGGUUGCCUCCUAAAAAGUAACGGAGGCGCGCAAUGGUUCACUAGCGUCGGAUGGAAAUCGACGUAGUCGUGUAAUCGCACAAGUGAGCCUAACUGUGAGGGUGACAACCCGAUCAGAAGCGAAAGCUGGUGAUAGUGAUCCGGCAGCCGAGCAUUUUUAAUGCUCUAACCACGUGGGUGGGCUG
RNAcentral lists this ribosomal RNA (365 nucleotides) under uncultured organism. RNAcentral describes it as "bacterial LSU rRNA". It matches the Rfam family "Bacterial large subunit ribosomal RNA", at positions 2195 to 2444 of the family's 2925-position model. The record is from RNAcentral.